AUGAGUAAUGUGAGGAGAGAAACAAAAAGGAGAAUGGAAUCUCAACAAAAGCAAGUGAUAUUUAAGAACUCCAGGUUCUUGGAGGAGUACAUAAGCUAUAAUAUAAAGUGCAAUGAAUGCCAGAUAAGUUCCUCCUGGUUUCUCCUCUUUAGAAUGAAAGACACUUCUUUGUGCUCACGUGAGUUGCGGAUUAGAUUCUGUAAAAACCACUAUGGUGAUGGAUGCCUAAGUGAUCGCUUGCUGCAGGCCUUGGACCGUGAAGCAGCUGAGAAUAUUAACAGCAACAAACCAGCAACAGUUUUUGCUAGUUUAAGAUCAUGCCAGCCUCUAUUGAUGUAAACAGAGAUUUGAUGGAUGCAAUGAUCUGUCUGCUCUCCAAAAGCAGCACAUAAAACUUAUUUUAAAUUGUUUAUCCUCUUAGAUUUCAUUUGAAAUGCAGGAUGGACUGUGACCGAACUGAUGAUAAUAUUAGAAUAUGACUUUGAGGCACACAAUUAAAGUAGCACACAGCUUCUUUUUUUCUCACUGUGUCUUUGCUGCUUUCUGUCAGUUCCUAUCCCCACAGAAUUUAUUGGGAGCAAAAUGAAACUUUAAAAGAGAAAAAUGAAAACAAAGAAAAAAAAAAGAACGAUGCUAAGGGAAGACCUACUGCUUCAAAUCAGGGACAAAGGCAGAAUAUAGCACUUGUGGCUGUGGAAGGCGCAUUUAGGGCUCUUACAUAACUGCUGAUUUUCACCCCAGACCGUAUCAGUAUGUACGUGUCUGGGAUACGCAGCGCCUGGCAGCUAGUAGCUCUCCUAUGGAGAAAAACUGUUUAAGAUUCUCUCCUCUACCACACUUCCGCUCCUGAAUUCACAAAACACACUUUCAUUUUCCAGACUCAGCAUUUACUUCUCUUAUGCUUUGCUACUGAAUAAUAGUUAUGUAUGUUUUGGCCUAGAAAUGGCACCCCUGGAGUGAGUCAUUGUAACAGUAACUAAUGUGAAAAGUUGAUUUGCAGAUUUUCCUGUGUCAAAUGUUCAUUUCAUGGCAUUAUCACAAAGCAUUUCUUCCAGCAUCAGAAUAGAACAUUGACAUUUCUAGAGACCGAAGUACCAAAAUUGUUGAAAGGAAAUGUAGGGACUAGCUAAUAAAAAAAAAACUAAGGUGCUCUUGCCA
RNAcentral lists this long non-coding RNA (1158 nucleotides) under Oryctolagus cuniculus (rabbit). RNAcentral describes it as "lncRNA (ENSOCUG00000036767.1)". The record is from RNAcentral. Lineage: Eukaryota; Metazoa; Chordata; Mammalia; Lagomorpha; Leporidae.